UAGGGAAUCUUCCGCAAUGGGCGAAAGCCUGACCGAGCAACGCCGCGUGAGUGAAGAAGGUCUCUGGAUCGUAAAACUCUGUUAUUAGGGAAGAACAAAUGUUUAAGUAACUAUGCACGUCUUCACGGUACCUAAUCAGAAAGCCACCUCUAACUACGUGCCAGCAGCCGCGGUAAUACGUAGGUGGCAAGCGUUAUCCGGAAGUAUUGGGCGUAAAGCGCGCGUAGGGGGUUUUUUAAGUCUGAUGUGAAAGCCCACGGCUCAACCGUGGAGGGUAAUUGGAAACUGGAAAACUUGGGUGCAGAAGAGGAAAGUGGAAUUGCAUGUGUAGGGGGGAAGUGCGCAGAUAAAUGGAGGAACACCAGUGGGGAAGGCGACUUGCAGGUCUGUAACUUACGCGGAUGUGCGAAAGCGUGGGGAUCAAACAGG
Molecule: ribosomal RNA, 429 nt
Filed under: Actinomycetes bacterium
Lineage: Bacteria; Bacillati; Actinomycetota; Actinomycetes
Description: Actinobacteria bacterium partial 16S ribosomal RNA
Rfam family: Bacterial small subunit ribosomal RNA
Source: RNAcentral